RNAcentral lists this long non-coding RNA (1297 nucleotides) under Helianthus annuus (common sunflower). Lineage: Eukaryota; Viridiplantae; Streptophyta; Magnoliopsida; Asterales; Asteraceae. The record is from RNAcentral.
GGGUUUCUACAACUCAAACCCACCGCUAUUUUUCCUUUCUUCGAAAAUCCGUCAAAUAUCAAUCGUAACGAUUCAAGGUUAGAUGUAUCUUUACAACGAUCGAUUCAUCCCCAUCAUCAUGGUUAUGAAAAUCUCACAUCAAUGCACAAUUAUAAAUAAAACCGUAAUUCUCUUUUCAUUGUUGCACCAAGAGCGCCACAUCUGGCACCAUCGGUUUAAUCUUUGCUUCGUUGCCGAUUUUGGGGUUUUCAUCCCCUCGAGUCGUUCUCUGCCUCCCGUCCAUUCUAUACAAAAUUGAUUAUCUUAUUUUUCAAGAUCCUUCUCUUAUCCUUCCAUCUUGCUUUCUCUAAUAGAUCAUAGGAGAACAUAGAUUGCUAUUGUAACGAAAGGGACCGGUUUUUAUUAUUGAGAUAUAAUCGAUGCAGAGAUAGGUUUCGUAUCUUCACAGUUCUUCUUUCCAUUGAAGAUUGUUUUUCUUCAUUCCUCUUUUCAUUUAGUUUUUUAUUUUAACUUGCGUGGUAUUAGGUUUUAGAUGAUGAUACAUUCGUCUGGGAUCUUGUUUAUGGUUACUUGCUUCAUGAUUGGUUUUGAACUUUCAAAAGUUUAAGAUGUUAGUACCUCUAAAGAGAUGAACUAGGGAGUUUGAUUUAAAUUGAUUAUGUGUUCACUUUUUUAGGUUUGAAAUUUGAUGAUAUGCACGAAAGAAAAGCUGAGAUGCCUCGCCAAGCUGACGCCUUUAUCGCUCAUCUGGAACCCAUUUGAUGUACCUUCGAGCCAUGCUUAUUAUGUGGGAACAUGGGACGAACUCAAACCUCGACGUACAAGACUGUUUCAUGUUCAAAAUUCAAAUCGUUAUCACCUCUACUUAGCCCUUGCAAUCGCAUUCCACAAUUGUUCUCUAUCUAGCUAAAGUUUUAUGGCUGCAUCGUAUAAACUACCGCAUCACAAAACACAUCGGUUAUGAACUGCGAUACUGCCACAAACACACUGCAUUUUCGGCAUGUACUAUCAUAUGGUUCCGAAUCCAUGUCAAUUAGGCAUUUGAAGUUUCCGAUUAAGUUCCGGUUGACAACCCAGAAACUCUUCUACAUUCUUCUGGAAAUCUGAUUGAGGAGAGUGGAAGACUUCAUCAAGCAAUGCUAUAUUCCAGGUUUUGUUGUAAUUAAUGUCAUUGAUUAUGCCUUCAUCUGAUCUUUUUUCUUUGAAUAACCACAUCGAGAAUUGUGUUUUAACAUCGCUGGUGUCUGACCAGUGGUAGAAGCAUCUGUUUGCCAUCUAGAUUUUUGUUGGAUUUGCU